RNAcentral lists this long non-coding RNA (418 nucleotides) under Brassica rapa (field mustard). RNAcentral's name for it is "long non-coding RNA (BRAP_LNC004067)". Lineage: Eukaryota; Viridiplantae; Streptophyta; Magnoliopsida; Brassicales; Brassicaceae. The record is from RNAcentral.
UGGGUUUUGUUAUUUUAAAUUUUCUAUGGUAUUAAAUUUUUGAAAGACAUGUUUUUUUUUUUUUUAACCUGAAGAUACCAUUUCUAAAUUAAUUAUAAGAGUUUUUACAUCCCAAGUACGAAAUAUAAAAUAACAACCGGAAAUUUGGAAACAUUUAAAUAUGAAACUCUGUGAAGCAAGAUUUAGAAAAUGAUGUACUAAUGCCUCUUGAAGCUUGAUUCCUUUGUCACACUUGAAAUCUGUCAAACCAAACCCACAAGUAUGAAAUGGUUUCCGCAGAUUGGUGAGAUGGUGUUCUACAAAGUUGAUCCGCUCUGUCCAACGAGUAAAGCUUUGCUCUUAACUGCAGAAAUAUGUCCUUCACAAGUAUCGAUGUCGGUCUAGAGAUCCCGGAAUGCAGCCUUGAGUUUCUCUCUUU